Panthera uncia (snow leopard) is the source of this 2278-nucleotide long non-coding RNA. RefSeq lists it as uncharacterized. The transcript has 2 exons. The record is from RefSeq and is a predicted model, not a curated record. Lineage: Eukaryota; Metazoa; Chordata; Mammalia; Carnivora; Felidae.
AUAAAAGCAUGGUGCUGGAGGCUUGCUGUUGAUGCAUACAGAUGGCUGCAGUACCCCAAAUUUAGUCUCCGUUCAAAUGUGUUCAUCACAUCUCUCGCUGGCUCUCUUUCAAGGCUCUUACCCCAACCCUAAAUCUUACGAUAUUUGCCUUUUGUAACUUUCAGUAAACAAUGGUAGCAUCACUUGAGUCCCCUUUAGGUUUAUCAUUCACUGUGCACAGAAGAGGAGUGACUGGUAGGUCAGAAAAGAUAGUGCCCUCCAAGAUUCUCGGGGUUUUCUGUCCUUGUACAUCUGGAUCACUCAAUCUUGGCUUAUCCUGACUUGCUCAGGCCCUAAGAAAAACAGGUUCUUGCAUCCCAAACUGAUGGCAGUCUAGUUUGUAUCCGAAAAUCAAUUUAAUCAUUUACAAUGAGAAAUCUAGCAGCCAAGUGGGGCAAUAUUUAUGUUGGCCGCUUUGCAAGUUCUCUUCCCACAAAUGAAACCAAGCAAAGAUUAGAAGUCUGUUGCUGUGUGAGCAUAAGCUACUGGUACAAGGAAGGGUUCUGAGACAGACUUAUCUACAAAAUGAUCUACUUAGAAUUCUCUGAUUUCCCCUCAGUGUGUACUCCUCUAAUUGCCCCGCUCGCCCACCCCUCACCUAUUCUUUGAAGCUUCUUCUACCUCUGGGUUCUUGGGAAAAAUGAAUCACUUACCCUGUCGGUCUACCAUAACUUUCAUACCUUUAUUAUAGCACCAAUUACCUCAUAUUCUGGUAAUCCUUGAUGUAUCUGUCUCCCCUUCUGUUUUCAUCACUGGGACAGGGACUCUCUCAUCUACUUUGUUUCCUCAAAGCCUAGCACAUAAUAAGUGCUCCGUUCAGGGUUGCUAAAUGAAUGAAUACACGAAUUAUUUUUCCAUUUACCCUAAUGGCCUGUCUACAUCUAAAUAGAUGUAGAUAGAUAUUAAGCGACAGAAAGGAGGGGGGAGAAAGAGAGAGAGAGACAGAGAGAGAGAAGAGAAUCCUAUUCCCUAACCAUGAGAGACCUGUCCAAACAUUAUACCGCAGGGAACCCAUAAAAGCCAGUCUUAGGCAAUACUCAGUGCUCUAUGUUUUCACCCAGACUGAUCUGUUUAUCUGAUCCUUCUAACAUUAUUCCCUGGCCUCACCUUAGGCCCUGGCUUAUGUGUGCUUCAACCUACAUGCUUAUUUUAGUAAACAGUUUGACCCCUUCCACAAGCAUAUUGAUUUGGAUUCUCCUAACUCCCCCUUUCACCCACAUCAGGCUACAGAAAUACCAAAGCAGAGUCUGGAUUCUAACAUGACCCACAAGUGAUAUGUAUGCUCAUUAAUGUUGUAGAAGCUCUACUUUGUUAGCACCAUGCUCUAACAAACUGAGCUAACUGGCCAGAUGCUACUUUAAAUCUUUAUGAUGACUGCCCCUGGCUGCAUGCUUUUCCUUUCCAUCUUCUCUCCUGUCAUUCUCAAGACAUCCACAUCCAUUGUAUUAGUUAUCUAUGGCUGCAUAUAAAACCACCCCAACUUACUGGCCUAAAACCUCACUUAUUAUCUUAUGGUUUCUGUGCGUCAGGAAUCUGGGCAAGACUUAUCUGGAUCCUCUGCUCAGGGUCUCUCAUAGGCUGCAGUGAAACUGGGCUUCAGUCAUCUAAAGCUUGGCUGGGGAGGAGUCGCUCGAGACUCACUCAUGUGGUUGUUGUUGGGACUCAUGUCUUCAUGGGCUGUUGGAAAGAGGCCUUCCUGAGUUCCUUGCCUGGUUGGUCUCUCCACUGCACAGCUUACAAGAUGGCAGCUGGCUUCAUAUGGAACAAAUGAGUGAAAAAGCAAGAGAGGGCAGGACCAAGAAUUUGGCAGAAAAACUCAUUGACUCCGUAUCCAUGCUGGCCAGAAGCAACAGUCAAAGGAACAAGAAGAUGGCCUCCACCUAAUUUCUACUUUCCAGAUCUAAUGCAAGUGCAUUUCAUUUUUGGACCUUAAUUCAUAUCUUGAAAACUAGAUGUAAAGCAGUUUGCAUUUUUUUUUUUUUUUUAACUUUCUGGCCAGCCUCUGCACACAAGAAGCAUUAGAAUAGUUGUUGAUCAAGACAAUCCAUGGAUUCUACCACACUAUGGCAAGGGCAGUAAAGGGAAACACACCUGAGACCUCUAAGGUUCUGUGACAGGAAUCAGAAUGUUUCUCCUGGGCUCCCUACUCUGCAGGCACGUUACAGGAUGGAGAAGGUAAAACCCAACAGUUACUACUUCUCCACAUGCUUUUCAUCUGAAGAUGUUGUUACUAUCUCUC